CCAUUUAGCUGAGCUCACACAUGUCAAACGCCGUUUCGAAGAUUUAGCGUGAGAUGUAGUGCUGUUUUUUAUUUCUUUCAAAAUCUAUGUUGCAAUAUAUUAGUUAAUGUUGUAUUUAACUUGCACCGUAUAUUAUUUCGUAUAUUCCACUGGCUUUUUUUCUUAAGAUGUUUUUGAAUCUCCUUGCUCUUCAUGAAAAUGUCUGUCUGCUGGUCUCAGGGGUAACAAGAAAAACUAAACAAAAAAACACUCGGAAUGUAACACAGACAGUGAAGAUGAAGGUGCCUCAGCAAGUCCACAACCACACAUAAGUACAAGUACACAAUACACAAGUAGAGAGGGGAAUUGUGAAAGCAAGCCUUGGGGUUUUAAUCAAGACAACAUAAGUGAUGUGGUCAAUAUUCCUGAUGAUGACUGCAAUCCUCAAAGAACUUUAACACAGGAUUGUAUCACUUUGACAUUAGUUGCAAAUGGUAGUGGCAACUUGCCUGAUAUAACUUUCCACAAUACAAGUUUGUCAGCUGCAUCUGAACGAAACUUGAACUUCUCUCUCUGUUCAGAAAUUGGUGCCUUACAAAGAACAUGUUUCGUUGAUAACCCCAUACCAGUCAUAGCUAUUGGCAGUGACACAUGCAAUGAACCACCACAGCCAGAAAGGAUUCUUCCUGUGGAUGUUAAUUCUCAAGAAUUGUCAUAUACUUGUUACAGAAACUAUGUGCAGUGGACACAACAUCAUGAUGAUGAUGUCUCUGUCAUGUCUGAUGAUAUUAAUUUUUGGCUAUUCAAGCUAGCCUGGAAGACCAAGUGAUGAACCUUCAAAAUGAUAAGGCAGCUUCUGAAGUUUUGCACGAAUUGGCUCAGAAAAUCAGUACUUCUUCAACAUCAAUCGUCAUAAUAUAUGGGAUGGAGCAGUAAGAGGCUUUAGAAGAAAAACAUUCUUGCCGUCCAACCAUCCAUCAGUUAAAUUCUCGGAUGAUACUGGAAAGCUAGAGGAAGCUAUUGAUCUCGGGGGACCCAGAAGGGAAUUUCUACGUCUUCUGAUGCAUUACCUUGAGGGAUCCCCUCUUUCUGAAGGUUCAUCAACCUCCAAAACGCUAGCUCUCAAUUCUUCAGCGCUCCGAGAAGGUUGAAUGAAGCAGGUCGAAUGAUUGCAGUGUCCUUGGUUCAUGGUGGUCCUGGCCCUGGAUUUUUCUCUCAGGUUCUUUUUGGCUCCUUGUCUAUGGACCUGAAUCUGUGGCACCAAAACUAGAGGAUGUAGCAGACUUUGAAGUGGCUCACAAAAUCCAACAGUGCCGAUUUGAAAUUAACAUUUCAUAUGGAAUGUCAGAAAUAGCAGGGGGGGUCUGGGGAUACACUAAGACUGAAGACUGAUGAAGUUCAGAGAUGGUAUAAAAACACUGGGAAUCCUUCAGCAAGUAAAGACAUUUCCUGCUAUCUUUUCACCACUUUUCUGCCACAAGCCUGAAAAGCUUACUGCAGAAAAAAUGGAUAACCUCUUCUCAAUUUGCUUCUCACCAGAGGAAAGCAACAAAAAAGUUGCUGAAUUAUCUGUAGUUGCCUUUUGGAGGGAAUUUUUGGAAGAUGUGGAGGAAAACGAGGCAUCAGUGACAAUGGAAUUGAUUCUAGCAUUUGCAACAGGGGCAGACAGCAUUCCUCCAUGUGGAUUCUCUCCUGCACCAUCAAGCUGAAACAAUGCAACCAGGGGUACUACCAGUUGCAAACACAUGCAUAAACUGUCUAAAGCUACCCAUCCAUCAGACAUAUGAAGAAUUUAAUAUUUUUUUGCAACAUUCAAGGUUUCGGCAAGAAUAACGUGUGAUCACAAACAUAAAACUGGUAAUGCUGAUUGGUGUUUGCUUCCUUUGUUUUUAAAAAGUAAAUUGUUUUAUGUAAAAUGAUAAAUGAAAGUAAAAGUGGUAAU
Long non-coding RNA from Acipenser ruthenus (sterlet), 1921 nucleotides. RefSeq lists it as uncharacterized. The record is from RefSeq and is a predicted model, not a curated record. Lineage: Eukaryota; Metazoa; Chordata; Actinopteri; Acipenseriformes; Acipenseridae. The transcript has 7 exons.